RNAcentral lists this ribosomal RNA (615 nucleotides) under uncultured bacterium. Its description in RNAcentral is "bacterial SSU rRNA". It matches the Rfam family "Bacterial small subunit ribosomal RNA", at positions 1 to 633 of the family's 1533-position model. The record is from RNAcentral.
AUUCGAUUAGAGUUUGAUCAUGGCUCAGGAUGAACGCUGGCGGCGUGCUUAAUACAUGCAAGUCGAACGGAGACAGUAGCAAUAUUGUCUUAGUGGCGAACGGGUGAGUAACGCGUUGGUGACCUGCCCCGAAGAGGGGGAUAACAGUCCGAAAGGAUUGCUAAUACCCCAUGUGGUCGUUUGGAUUAGAUGCCUUACGACUAAACGGAUUUAUUCGCUUCGGGAGGGGCCUGCGUCCCAUCAGCUAGUUGGUAAGGUAACGGCUUACCAAGGCGAUGACGGGUAGGGGACCUGAGAGGGUGGCCCCCCACAAUGGAACUGAAACACGGUCCAUACACCUACGGGUGGCAGCAGUAGGGAAUAUUGGUAAUGUGCGAAAGCGCGAACCAGCAACGCCGCGUGCGCGAUGAAGGCCUUCGGGUUGUAAAGCGCUUUUUAUGGGGAUGAGGAAGGACAGUACUCAUAGAAUAAGCCUCGGCUAACUACGUGCCAGCAGCCGCGGUAAAACGUAGGAGGCGAGCGUUAUCCGGAUUUACUGGGCGUAAAGCGUGUGUAGGCGGUUUGAUAAGUUGGAUGUGAAAGCUCCUGGCUUAACUGGGAGAGGUCGUUCAAAAC